AAGUCGAGCGGACAGAUGGGAGCUUGCUCCCUGAUGUUAGCGGCGGACGGGUGAGUCACUUGUGGGUAACCUGCCUGUAAGACUGGGAUAACUCCGGGAAACCGGGGCUAAUACCGGAUGGUUGUUUGAACCGCAUGGUUCAAACAUAAAAGGUGGCUUCGGCUACCACUUACAGAUGGACCCGCGGCGCAUUAGCUAGUUGGUGAGGUAACCGGCUCCCAAGGCCAACGAUGCGUAGCCGACCUGAGAGGGUGAUCGGCCACAACUUGGGAACUGAGACACGGCCCAGACUCCCUACGGGAAGGCAAGCAGUAGGGAAUCUUCCGCCAAUGGACGAAAAGUUCUGACGGAGCAACGCCGCGUGAGUGAUGAAGGUUUUCGGAUCGUAAAGCUCUGUUGUUAGGGAAAGAACAAGUACCGUUCGGAAUAGGGCGGUACCUUGACGGUACCUAACCAGAAAGCCACGGCUAACUACGUGCCAGCAGCCGCGGUAAUACGUAGGUGGCAAGCGUUGUCCGGAAAUUAUUGGGCGUAAAGGGCUCGCAGGCGGUUUCUUAAGUCUGAUGUGAAAGCCCCCGGCUCAACCGGGGAGGGUCAUUGGAAACUGGGGAACUUGAGUGCAGAAGAGGAGAGUGGAAUUCCACGUGUAGCGGUGAAAUGCGUAGAGAUGUGGAGGAACACCAGUGGCGAAGGCGACUCUCUGGUCUGUAACUGACGCUGAGGAGCGAWAGCGUGGGGAGCGAACAGGAUUAGAUACCCUGGUAGUCCACGCCGUAAACGAUGAGUGCUAAGUGUUAGGGGGUUUCCGCCCCUUAGUGCUGCAGCUAACGCAUUAAGCACUCCGCCUGGGGAGUACGGUCGCAAGACUGAAACUCAAAAGGAAUUGACGGGGGGCCCGCACAAGCGGUGGGAGCAUGUGUUUUAAUUUCGAAGCAACGCGAAGAACCUUACCAGGUCUUGACAUCCUCUGACAUCCUAGAGAUAGGACGUUCCCCUUCGGGGGCCAGAGUGACAGGUGGUGCAU
RNAcentral lists this ribosomal RNA (1024 nucleotides) under Bacillus tequilensis. Its description in RNAcentral is "bacterial SSU rRNA". It matches the Rfam family "Bacterial small subunit ribosomal RNA", at positions 59 to 1046 of the family's 1533-position model. The record is from RNAcentral. Lineage: Bacteria; Bacillati; Bacillota; Bacilli; Caryophanales; Bacillaceae.